UUAGUUAUCUGAAAUAGGUUAAUGGAUGAUCAAAAAGACUUAUAUCCUAGGCUGGUGACCUCUAUUGUACUUUGGAGGCAUGCCCAUCUAAGGUGAGCUUAAGUUGUCGAGCCUACAUCAUAAUUAGUGAUAGUGAGAGCUUGCGUUCCCCUUUAUUUUAU
Molecule: small nuclear RNA, 161 nt
Filed under: Nicotiana attenuata
Lineage: Eukaryota; Viridiplantae; Streptophyta; Magnoliopsida; Solanales; Solanaceae
Description: snRNA U1
Rfam family: U1 spliceosomal RNA
About the family: U1 is a small nuclear RNA (snRNA) component of the spliceosome (involved in pre-mRNA splicing).
Source: RNAcentral